RNAcentral lists this transfer RNA (72 nucleotides) under Camelus dromedarius (Arabian camel). It matches the Rfam family "tRNA". Rfam says of the family: Transfer RNA (tRNA) molecules are approximately 80 nucleotides in length. Their secondary structure includes four short double-helical elements and three loops (D, anti-codon, and T loops). The record is from Rfam by way of RNAcentral. Lineage: Eukaryota; Metazoa; Chordata; Mammalia; Artiodactyla; Camelidae. RNAcentral also lists the same sequence under 1 other name.
GAGGGUAUAGCUCAAGUGGUAGAGCGUGUACUUAGCAUGCCAAGGUCCUGGUUCCAAUCCCAGGUACCUCCA